This is an RNA transcript of Solanum tuberosum (potato), 1268 nucleotides long. It is a transcript of the gene named KHG/KDPG aldolase-like, with no coding region annotated. The record is from RefSeq and is a predicted model, not a curated record. Lineage: Eukaryota; Viridiplantae; Streptophyta; Magnoliopsida; Solanales; Solanaceae. The transcript is spliced from 10 exons.
UCCAUCAGGUAGGAUAUUUUUUUUUUUUGCGCCAUUGCAGGGUUAUUGAGAAAAUAUGGCCAUUGCAAGCUUUAGUUUACCUUUUACAUAUCUUCAAAAGCCUUCUUCUUGUUCUUGCAGAUGCAGCAGCAGCUCGUUUGAGAAGCCAAUUUUUGCCCAUUCUUCUAAUGGUAUAGCCAACAAAGCCCUGCAGGAAAUUCGAAAUUCUGGAGUUAUUGCUUGCCUUCGAGCCCAAAAUGCAGACCUGGCUAAUCGAGCUGCACGUGCUGCAUUGGAUGGUGGAAUUUCAGCUCUGGAAAUUGUGGUGUCCACUCCAGAUGUUUUUGAGGUGUUAAGAGACCUAGUGCAUGAUUAUCCAGCAAAAACUUUUGGUGUUGGAACAGUAUUACAGGCUAAAGAUGCCAAAGAUUCUAUUAAGUCUGGAGCUAAGUUUCUUAUGAGUCCUGCAACAGUUAUGGAUAUUCUAGUUGGUGUCUCAGAGAGUGAUGUUCUAUAUAUACCUGGGGUAAUGACCCCCACGGAGAUAUUAUCUGCUUUCAGUGCUGGUGCCAAGAUUGUCAAGGUUUAUCCCGUCUCUGCACUAGGCGGUGUUGGGUACAUUUCAGCUCUUAAAAGGCCUUUUUCUCAUAUCCCUAUGGUUGCAUCACAAGGCAUAACAAUAGAUUUGAUUGGGCAAUACAUUGGUCAGGGAGCAUCAGCAGUUGUUCUAUCCGAUGCCAUAUUUGACAAAGAGGCAAUGAGUCAACAGAAUUUCGAUAAAAUAUAUCAACUUGCAAGCCAUGCAGCUUUGCAGGGUAAACAAGCUGUUGAAAGGUCAGAAUGUUAGGUGCAGAUGCAUCUUUCGAUUUGUUAAAACCUCAUGGAACUGCAGGGGUUUAUGAGAAACGAGAAAUCAGAUUAAGCCAUCCGUCAUCCUGCUUGAAGUUUGGAAAAAUUAACUGUGCUGGUUUCGGUAGGGAGAGUUUUACACCCUUAGUGAGCCUCAGAGUGAAUCUAGAUUAGUCGAAGCAGUGGCCUUUGGAUAUCAGAUGGUUAAACCGAAAACAAAAGCUGUGUUGGUUAGUUCGUCCGUCUCCGAUUUACAGUCAGUUGCAACAUGUUGUGUGUAUGUCGCAAAGGGUGCAGACAUGCCAGAUUACAAGCAAUUGCAGGUUGCUAAAUCAGUUGUUUUUCCACAACUUCAUUGUUGUUUUUGUUUCACUAUCCUAUAAUGUUGACGCAUUCAUGUUGAAUUCUCGAAAAAUAAUACAUAUUUUUAAAGAAUCUGA